RNAcentral lists this ribosomal RNA (380 nucleotides) under uncultured eukaryote. RNAcentral's name for it is "partial 18S ribosomal RNA". It matches the Rfam family "Eukaryotic small subunit ribosomal RNA", at positions 592 to 976 of the family's 1831-position model. The record is from RNAcentral.
CAAUGGCGUAUAUUAAAGUUGUUGCGGUUAAAAAGCUCGUAGUUGGAUUUCUGCUGAGAACGACCGGUCCGCCCUUUGGGUGUGUAUCUGGCUCUUUCUUGGCAUCUUCUUGGUGAACGUUGCUGCACUUGACUGUGUGGAGCGCUACCCAGGACUUUUACUUUGAGGAAAUUAGAGUGUUUCAAGCAGGCAUACGCCUUGAAUACAUUAGCAUGGAAUAAUAAGAUAGGACCUCGGUUCUAUUUUGUUGGUUUCUAGAGCUGAGGUAAUGAUUAAUAGGGAUAGUUGGGGGCAUUCGUAUUUAACUGUCAGAGGUGAAAUUCUUGGAUUUGUUAGAGACGGACUACUGCGAAAGCAUUUGCCAAGGAUGUUUUCAUUGA